RNAcentral lists this ribosomal RNA (484 nucleotides) under uncultured bacterium. RNAcentral's name for it is "partial 16S ribosomal RNA". It matches the Rfam family "Bacterial small subunit ribosomal RNA", at positions 30 to 507 of the family's 1533-position model. The record is from RNAcentral.
AUUGAACGCUGGCGGCAGGCCUAACACAUGCAAGUCGAGCGGAUGAAGGGAGCUUGCUCCUGGAUUCAGCGGCGGACGGGUGAGUAAUGCCUAGGAAUCUGCCUGGUAGUGGGGGAUAACGUCCGGAAACGGGCGCUGAUACCGCAUACGUCCUGAGGGAGAAAGUGGGGGAUCUUCGGACCUACCGCUAUAGGAUAAGCCUAGGUGGGAUUAGCUAGUUGGUGGGGUAAAGGCCUACCAAGGCGACGAUCCGUAACUGGCCUGAGAGGAUGAUCAGGCACACUGGAACUGAGACACGGUCCAGACUCCUACGGGAGGCAGCAGUGGGGAAUAUUGGACAAUGGGCGAAAGCCUGAUCCAGCCAUGCCGCGUGUGUGAAGAAGGUCUUCGGAUUGUAAAGCACUUUAAGUUGGGAGGAAGGGCAGUAAGUUAAUACCUUGCUGUUUUGACGUUACCAACAGAAUAAGCACCGGCUAACUUCGUG